UAGCCGUAAACGAUACCCGCUAGGUGUCGGCCACGGUGCGACCGUUGUCGGUGCCGUAGGGAAGCCGUGAAGCGAGCCACCUGGGAAGUACGGCCGCAAGGCUGAAACUUAAAGGAAUUGGCGGGGGAGCACAACAACGGGUGGAGCUUGCGGUUUAAUUGGACUCAACGCCGGGAGGCUCACCGGAUAAGACAGCGGAAUGAUUGCCGGGCUGAAGACCCUGCAUGACCAGCUGAGAGGUGGUGCAUGGCGUAGACGUCU
Molecule: ribosomal RNA, 261 nt
Filed under: uncultured archaeon
Lineage: Archaea
Description: partial 16S ribosomal RNA
Rfam family: Archaeal small subunit ribosomal RNA
Source: RNAcentral